This 22-nucleotide non-coding RNA is filed under the name Sus scrofa (pig). The record is from RNAcentral. Lineage: Eukaryota; Metazoa; Chordata; Mammalia; Artiodactyla; Suidae. RNAcentral also lists the same sequence under 1 other name.
AAUCACUAAUUCCACUGCCAUC